RNAcentral lists this ribosomal RNA (411 nucleotides) under Triticum aestivum (bread wheat). RNAcentral describes it as "partial small subunit ribosomal RNA". The record is from RNAcentral. Lineage: Eukaryota; Viridiplantae; Streptophyta; Magnoliopsida; Poales; Poaceae.
AUGGCGUCCAAGGAGCUCUCCUGCCGCCGCCUCGCCGGCCUCGCUCAUGCCCAGCACCUCCUCCACCCCGCAGCCGCGCCUCCACCAGCAGAUGAGCCCUCGCCGCCGGCCAGCAGAGCCGUCGGAGCACCACCAGAACCGGGCCGCCUUCCCUGCCCUCCUCUCUCUUCGUCACUCCCUCUCCAUCUCUCUGCUCUCUCAUGGCCUCUCUCUAUGUGCCCUUCGCAGGUCGACACCGCCGGCCAUCUCCACCCCGGAUCCGGUUGCCCUUGUCGUCCCGUGCUCGGAUCUACCUCUUCCAGUCAUCUCCUUGCUGGUCCGCGCCCCGGGGACCCGUCGAUGAACGCUGCCAUGCCGUGCGCCGCCUCCUCUGUUUUCUGCGCCCGCUCGAGCGGGGAGGACGAGCGGUAG